AGGGUUCGAUUAUGGCUCAGGAUGAACGCUAGCGGCACGCUUCAUACAUGCAAGUCGAGGGGCAGCAUAAAUUACUUGUAAUUUGAUGGCGACCGGCGAACGGGUGCGUAACGCGUAUGCAACUUACCUUUUACUAGAGAAUAGCCAAGAGAAAUUUUGAUUAAUGCUCUAUACUCUUAUUAAUUCACAUGAGUUUUUAAGAAAAGCUCCGGCGGUAAAAGAUGGGCAUGCGUCCUAUUAGCUUGUAGGUGAGGUAACGGCUCACCUAAGCUCCGAUAGGUAGGGGUCCUGAGAGGGAGAUCCCCCACACUGGUACUGAGACACGGACCAGACUUCUACGGAAGGCAGCAGUAAGGAAUAUUGGACAAUGGAGGAAACUCUGAUCCAGCGAUGCCGCGUGAAGGAAGACGGCCCUAUGGGUUGUAAACUUCUUUUAUACGGGAAUAAACCUAUCCACGUGUGGGUAGCUGAAGGUACUGUAAGAAUAAGGAUCGGCUAACUCCGUGCCAGCAGCCGCGGUAAUAC
RNAcentral lists this ribosomal RNA (525 nucleotides) under uncultured bacterium. RNAcentral describes it as "bacterial SSU rRNA". It matches the Rfam family "Bacterial small subunit ribosomal RNA", at positions 8 to 526 of the family's 1533-position model. The record is from RNAcentral.